Molecule: long non-coding RNA, 587 nt
Filed under: Mus caroli (Ryukyu mouse)
Lineage: Eukaryota; Metazoa; Chordata; Mammalia; Rodentia; Muridae
Description: lncRNA (MGP_CAROLIEiJ_G0006546.1)
Source: RNAcentral
CUGUCCAUCUCCAGAAUGCUGGCUUCAGCAGGCACCAGAAACAGUGUGCCCCCAAGCCUCCUCCCACAGCCCUGCUACAGUUGGAAGGCCUCUUCUUCUGUGAUGGAUACUUCCCAUUCUCCAUGCUUCCUCACCUCUGUGCACAUUUCAACAAGCAAGGUCAGGCCACUAGCCUCGGGAUUACAUUAAGAAAAGGAUUUAUUUAUUUUUAACAUGUACCUACUCAUUUUCAAGGAAGUGGCCUUUGAAGAGGACAAAUGAAGCUGAUAAUCACUGCUGAAUCCAGAAAGCUCAUUCAGAAGUCUUUUUGCACUGCCUUCUGCCAGCCUCCAGGACCGUACACAUGAGUGACAGCCUCUAUCUAGUGUUUGAGUGUAUGAACCUUUAAUCCAUCAAGAUGCUUCUAAAAUUGAGAGGGUACCUCCACCACGUGCUCGCACCUUCCUGUACAAACCCCCUCAUCUUGGGACCCAUGGAAAUGCCACCACACUGGAAGCCAGCUGAAUAUAUUUUUCUAAUCUCAUCCAGACUUUAUGGCUAUAAUUUGGCUGCUGACACAAUUUUAAAUUAGCUUUUGCUUCAAUGAA